This 1317-nucleotide ribosomal RNA is filed under the name uncultured bacterium. Its description in RNAcentral is "bacterial SSU rRNA". It matches the Rfam family "Bacterial small subunit ribosomal RNA", at positions 64 to 1399 of the family's 1533-position model. The record is from RNAcentral.
GAACGGAGCUGAGAGGAGCUUGCUUUUCUUAGCUUAGUGGCGAACGGGUGAGUAACGCGUGAGUAACCUGCCCUGGAGUGGGGGACAACAGUUGGAAACGACUGCUAAUACCGCAUAAGCCCACGGCCCGGCAUCGGGCUGAGGGAAAAGGAUUUAUUCGCUUCAGGAUGGACUCGCGUCCAAUUAGCUAGUUGGUGAGGUAACGGCCCACCAAGGCGACGAUUGGUAGCCGGACUGAGAGGUUGAACGGCCACAUUGGGACUGAGACACGGCCCAGACUCCUACGGGAGGCAGCAGUGGGGGAUAUUGCACAAUGGGGGAAACCCUGAUGCAGCGACGCCGCGUGGAGGAAGAAGGUUUUCGGAUUGUAAACUCCUGUCGUUAGGGACGAUAAUGACGGUACCUAACAAGAAAGCACCGGCUAACUACGUGCCAGCAGCCGCGGUAAAACGUAGGGUGCAAGCGUUGUCCGGAAUUACUGGGUGUAAAGGGAGCGCAGGCGGACCGGCAAGUUGGAAGUGAAAACUAUGGGCUCAACCCAUAAAUUGCUUUCAAAACUGCUGGCCUUGAGUAGUGCAGAGGUAGGUGGAAUUCCCGGUGUAGCGGUGGAAUGCGUAGAUAUCGGGAGGAACACCAGUGGCGAAGGCGGCCUACUGGGCACCAACUGACGCUGAGGCUCGAAAGUGUGGGUAGCAAACAGGAUUAGAUACCCUGGUAGUCCACACCGUAAACGAUGAUUACUAGGUGUUGGAGGAUUGACCCCUUCAGUGCCGCAAGUUAACACAAUAAGUAAUCCACCUGGGGAGUACGACCGCAAGGUUGAAACUCAAAGGAAUUGACGGGGGCCCGCACAAGCAGUGGAGUAUGUGGUUUAAUUCGACGCAACGCGAAGAACCUUACCAAGUCUUGACAUCCUGCGACGAUGCUGGAAACAGUAUUUUCCUUCGGGACGCAGAGACAGGUGGUGCAUGGUUGUCGUCAGCUCGUGUCGUGAGAUGUUGGGUUAAGUCCCGCAACGAGCGCAACCCUUAUGGUCAGUUACUACGCAAGAGGACUCUGGCCAGACUGCCGUUGACAAAACGGAGGAAGGUGGGGAUGACGUCAAAUCAUCAUGCCCUUUAUGACUUGGGCUACACACGUACUACAAUGGCGUUAAACAAAGAGAAGCAAGACCGCGAGGUGGAGCAAAACUCAGAAACAACGUCCCAGUUCGGACUGCAGGCUGCAACUCGCCUGCACGAAGUCGGAAUUGCUAGUAAUCGCGGAUCAGAAUGCCGCGGUGAAUACGUUCCCGGGUCUUGUACUCACCGCCCGUCA